Molecule: long non-coding RNA, 318 nt
Organism: Grus americana (Whooping crane)
Lineage: Eukaryota; Metazoa; Chordata; Aves; Gruiformes; Gruidae
Exons: 3
Source: RefSeq, a predicted model, not a curated record
AGGUGCCAGAAGUGAUGACAGCUGCAGUGUGUCUCUGGAACAAGCAGCUGAUGAAGAGGAACCUGGGGACUGCAGGAACAUCCCAGUUAGCUGAUGUGUGGCCCACACGUUUUCUGUUGCGGAUGGAUUCAGAUACCUGGCGCUCUGAAAGCUAGAUGCAGACAGACAAGAUGCGCACCAAAGAGCGGCAGAGGAGGCGAGCAGAGCGCCGUAUGAAGGUGGGUCGGCCGGUGGUGUUGGAGGGAAGAUCUGGCUGGUGGCUCUAUGGCUCCAUUAAGACUUGUCUGGGCCUUCUUGAUUUUUUGAAGGCGUGAAGCU